GAACAAGCACACAACAACAUUAAAGGUUAAUGGACUGCCACCAACUCUUGGAAGAUAUGGUGUGUAACAGGCAACACUAGUACAAGGAUGACAACCAGCUCGUGACUGUCAACUGAACAAAUUAAAAUUGUUCAGACUACACUUAAAGGGAAUUUGAAGACAUGACUCAAUUCAAGGAUCAACGUUUUUAAAAGUCAUUAAGUUUUACUUGUCGAUUUUAUGAGUCAGGCUUAACCUGUGUUUAACAUGGUUACAGAAUUGUCUUCGGUUUUAAUGGUUUUUAACUGUCCAAAUGGACUUAUCUGUGUUCAUUUUGUACUUAAAGUGACUGCAGGAUCAGGUGUUUUAUCAUGUAUCUAUUUAUACAUUUUAAAAAUGCCAAAUUAAAAAAAAAGUGUGGAAAACAA
Long non-coding RNA from Protopterus annectens (West African lungfish), 407 nucleotides. RefSeq lists it as uncharacterized. The transcript has 2 exons. The record is from RefSeq and is a predicted model, not a curated record. NCBI's taxonomy places the organism in Eukaryota, Metazoa, Chordata, Ceratodontiformes, Protopteridae.